RNAcentral lists this ribosomal RNA (422 nucleotides) under uncultured Flaviaesturariibacter sp. RNAcentral's name for it is "bacterial SSU rRNA". It matches the Rfam family "Bacterial small subunit ribosomal RNA", at positions 355 to 774 of the family's 1533-position model. Lineage: Bacteria; Pseudomonadati; Bacteroidota; Chitinophagia; Chitinophagales; Chitinophagaceae. The record is from RNAcentral.
UAAGGAAUAUUGGUCAAUGGACGCAAGUCUGAACCAGCCAUGCCGCGUGAAGGAUGAAGGUCCUCUGGAUUGUAAACUUCUUUUAUAGGGGACGAAACCCUCUUUUUCUAAAGAGACUGACGGUACCCUAGGAAUAAGCACCGGCUAACUCCGUGCCAGCAGCCGCGGUAAUACGGAGGGUGCAAGCGUUAUCCGGAUUCACUGGGUUUAAAGGGUGCGUAGGAGGGCAGGUAAGUCAGUGGUGAAAUCUCCGAGCUUAACUUGGAAACUGCCGUUGAUACUAUCUGUCUUGAAUACCGUGGAGGUGAGCGGAAUAUGUCAUGUAGCGGUGAAAUGCUUAGAUAUGACAUAGAACACCAAUUGCGAAGGCAGCUCACUACACGCAUAUUGACUCUGAGGCACGAAAGCGUGGGGAUCAAACA